Molecule: ribosomal RNA, 406 nt
Filed under: uncultured bacterium
Lineage: Bacteria
Description: partial 16S ribosomal RNA
Rfam family: Bacterial small subunit ribosomal RNA
Source: RNAcentral
AUUGAACGCUGGCGGCAGGCUUAACACAUGCAAGUCGAGCGAGCGGCGGACGGGUGAGUAAUGUCUGGGAAACUGCCUGAUGGAGGGGGAUAACUACUGGAAACGGUAGCUAAUACCGCAUACCAUAAGAUGUGCCCAGAUGGGAUUAGCUAGUGGGUGGGGUAAUGGCUCACGUAGGCGACGCUACCUAGCUGGUCUGAGAGGAUGACCAGCGACACUGGCACUGAGACCGGGUCCAGACCCCUACGGGAGGGAGGAGUGGGGAAUAUUGCACAAGGGGCGCAAGCCUGAUGCAGCCAUGCCGCGUGUGUGAAGAGGGCCUUCGGGUUGUAAAGCACUUUCAGCGAGGAGGCGUUACUCGCAGAAGAAGCACCGGCUAACUCCGUGCCAGCAGCCGCGGUAAUUC